UACAGAGGGUGCGAGCGUUAAUCGGAAUUACUGGGCGUAAAGCGUGCGUAGACGGUUAUCUAAGUCGGAUGUGAAAGCCCCGGGCUCAACCUGGGAAUUGCAUUCGAGACUGAAUAGCUAGGGUGCGGUAGAGGGAAGCGGAAUUUCCGGUGUAGCGGUGAAAUGCGUAGAUAUCGGAAGGAACAUCAGUGGCGAAAGCGGCUUCCUGGACCAGCACCGACGUUCAGGCACGAAAGCGUGGGGAGCAAACGGG
RNAcentral lists this ribosomal RNA (253 nucleotides) under uncultured bacterium. RNAcentral describes it as "partial 16S ribosomal RNA". It matches the Rfam family "Bacterial small subunit ribosomal RNA", at positions 524 to 776 of the family's 1533-position model. The record is from RNAcentral.